Molecule: ribosomal RNA, 401 nt
Filed under: uncultured prokaryote
Description: bacterial SSU rRNA
Rfam family: Bacterial small subunit ribosomal RNA
Source: RNAcentral
UGGGGAAUAUUGCACAAUGGGCGAAAGCCUGAUGCAGCAACGCCGCGUGAGCGAUGAAGGCCUUCGGGUCGUAAAGCUCUGUCCUCAAGGAAGAUAAUGACGGUGCUUGAGGAGGAAGCCCCGGCUAACUACGUGCCAGCAGCCGCGGUAAUACGUAGGGGGCUAGCGUUAUCCGGAAUUACUGGGCGUAAAGGUUGCGUAGGUGGUUUCUUAAGUCAGAGGUGAAAGGCUACGGCUCAACCGUAGUAAGCCUUUGAAACUGGGAAACUUGAGUGCAGGAGAGGAGAGUGGAAUUCCUAGUGUAGCGGUGAAAUGCGUAGAUAUUAGGAGGAACACCAGUUGCGAAGGCGGCUCUCUGGACUGACCCUGACGCUGAGGUGCGAAAGCGUGGGUAGCAAACA